This 7352-nucleotide ribosomal RNA is filed under the name Triticum aestivum (bread wheat). RNAcentral describes it as "partial small subunit ribosomal RNA". The record is from RNAcentral. Lineage: Eukaryota; Viridiplantae; Streptophyta; Magnoliopsida; Poales; Poaceae.
AGUCAUCGACAGCUAAUCGAUCAGGUGCAUUCCUCGCAAAUCUACGCACGCGAACAUCUCUCCCCUUCUUCGCCCCACUCGCCGAUCCGAACCACCUCAAACCCCAGCACCGGACCCGUCACUCCCCUCCCCCGCCCCGCCCAGCCCAGAUCCAGAUCCACCCGGCGCGGCACAGCCGCGGCCACCGAAAUCCCUAGAGGAAUAAUGGCCUCCGCGGCCGCAGCGGCGCCGCCGCCGCUGUCCUCGCCGGAGUCCGACCCGCGCCUCGUCGAGGCCUUCGUGCCUUUCCUCGAGAAGCUCGUGAAGAACGCCUCGUGGCGCAACAAGGCGCACUCCAAGCUCUCCCACACCGCCAAGUCCAUCCUCGACCGCCUCCAGAGGCCCCCGCCCCCCUCGCCCACCGCGGCGCAGACCCCGUCCACCCCCACCUCGCCCUCCACGCCGACUUCCUCCUCCUGGCAGCCGGGCCCGCUCCGCAACCUCUCGCUCGAGGACUCGGAGCUGCUCCUCUCCCCCAUCUCCUCCGCGCUCGGCUCCGGCAGCGCCAAGCUCGUCGAGGCCGCGCUCGAGCUACUCCACAGGCUGAUCGCACACUCCUACAUCCAUGGCGAGGCCGACCCGUCGGCUGACCCCUCGUCACAGCUCGUCGCUUCCCUGCUCGAGGCGGCCUGCAAUGCGCUCCACCUCGACGACGAGCACAUUGAGCUCCUCCUCCUCAAGACUCUCCUCUCUGCGGUCACAUCCACCUCCGUGUGCCUCCACGGCGACUGCCUGCUCCGCGCUGUGCGCGCCUGCUAUGAUAUGUAUCUGGGGAGCCGUAGCACCGUGAAUCAGGCCACUGCCAAGGCGUCGCUCGUGCAGAUGUUGGUAAUCGUCUUCCGCAGAAUGGAGGCAGAUUCAUCAACGAUCCCCGUGCAGCCCAUCGUCGUGGCUGAAGUGAUUGAGUUGCCUGAUGCUGGCUCAGGUGCAUCACCCACCGCCGAUGUCACCUUCGUACAGGGAUUCAUCUCGAAGAUCAUGGUGGACAUUGAUGGUGCAUUCACACCUCUGGCACGGACAACCUCGUCUGCUGCGGCAGGCACUGUGCCCCAUGAUGGUGCUUUUGAGACGACCGCAGCAGCUGAGGAAGGGGCAAAUCCUGCGGACUUGCUUGAUUCAACGGAUAAGGACAUGCUGGAUGCCAAGUACUGGGAGAUUAGCAUGUACAAGACAGCUCUUGAGGGUCGUAAGGAUGAGCUUGGCGUGGAGGGGGCAGUGGUAGCCACUUUGGAUGAUGAUGCUGAUGUCAGGAUUGGGAAUAAGCUGCGGAGAGAUGCUUUCUUAGUUUUCCGGGCAUUAUGUAAGCUCUCGAUGAAGACACCGCCGAAGGAUGCACCAGCUGAUCCGAUAGUGAUGCGGGGGAAGAUCCUUGCUCUUGAACUUCUCAAGAUCUUGCUUGAAAAUGCUGGGGCUGUGUUCCGCACCAGCGAGAGGUUUCUAGGUGCUAUCAAGCAGUAUUUGUGCCUAUCACUUUUGAAGAACUGUGCCUCGUCACAUAUGAUUGUUUUUCAGUUAUCUUGUUCUAUUUUUAUUAGCUUGGUUUCAAGAUUUAGGCCAGGAUUGAAGGCAGAAAUUGGAGUAUUUUUUCCCAUGAUCAUUCUAAGAGUUCUGGAAAAUAUUGCACAACCAAAUUUUCAAGCAAAGAUGAUAGUUCUUCGUUUUUUGGAGAAGCUCUGUACUGAUUCUCAAAUCUUGGUUGACAUUUUCAUCAAUUACGACUGUGAUGUCCACUCAUCGAACAUAUUUGAGAGGAUGGUCAACGGUCUGCUUAAAACAGCUCAAGGGCCUCCUGCGGGUAUUGCUACCACAUUGGUACCGCCUCAGGAUACGACAAUGAAGAGUGAAGCAAUGAAAUGCUUAGUUUCUAUCCUCAGAUCCAUGGGAGAUUGGAUGAAUAAGCAGCUAAGUAUUCCAGAUCCUGACUCUCCUAAGAUUGAAUCAGAGCAAAACGAUAAUGAUGGUGGAAAUGAGUUUCCCCAGACAGAGAUCAAUGGAGAUGCUUCUAGCGAGGUAUCCGAUUCACAUUCAGAAGUAUCAAAUGGGGUUUCAGAGGCUGCAUCUUUGGAGCAGCGUCGAGCUUACAAAAUGGAACUUCAGGAGGGUAUCGCUCUGUUUAACCGGAAGCCUAGAAAGGGAAUUGAAUUCUUAAUAAAUGCCAACAAGGUCGGGGAGUCAGCUGAGGAUAUAGCUGCUUUCCUGAAAAGUACUUCUGGCUUGAACAAGACUAUGAUUGGUGAUUAUUUAGGGGAAAGGGAAGAUUUAUCCCUCAAAGUCAUGCAUGCAUAUGUGGAUUCUUUUAAUUUUCAGAAUAUGGAAUUUGAUGAAGCGAUCAGAGCCUUUCUUCAAGGUUUUAGGCUUCCUGGAGAAGCUCAAAAGAUUGAUCGGGUUAUGGAGAAAUUUGCAGAGCGUUACUGCAAAUGCAACCCAAAGGCCUUUUCGAGUGCAGACACAGCUUAUGUUCUUGCUUAUUCAGUCAUAAUGCUUAACACUGAUGCACAUAACCCAAUGGUCAAAAAUAAGAUGUCACCAGAAGAUUUCAUAAGAAACAAUCGUGGUAUUGAUGAUGGGAAAGACCUACCAGAAGAAUUUAUGAGGUCCUUGUAUGGAAGGAUUUGGAAAAAAGAAAUUAAGAUGAAAGAAGACGAAUUUGUUCCUCAUCAGCAACAAUCAACAAGCUCUAACAAAAUUCUUGGGUUGGAUAACAUUCUUAACAUUGUUAUACGCAAACGAGGUUCAGCUAUGGAGACGAGUGAUGAUCUCAUUAAGCAUAUGCAGGAGCAAUUCAAAGAAAAGGCUCGUAUGUCUGAGUCAAUAUUUUAUCCAGCCACGGAUGUAGUAAUUUUGAAGUUCAUGGUCGAGGUUUGUUGGGCUCCUAUGCUUGCUGCCUUCAGUGUGCCACUUGACCAGAGUGACGAUGAAAUUGUCAUAUCCCAGUGUCUUGAGGGAUUUCGCUGUGCAAUACAUGUUACCGCAGCUAUGUCGAUGAAGACUCAAAGGGAUGCUUUCAUUACAUCGCUUGCCAAGUUUACAUCACUUCACUCUGCUGCGGAUAUCAAGCAGAAAAAUAUUGAAGCGAUUAAGGCAAUUCUGUUGAUUGCAGAUGAAGACGGAAAUUACUUGCAAGAAGCAUGGGAGCAUAUAUUGACCUGUGUUUCUCGUUUCGAGAAUCUACAUCUUGUAGGUGAAGGUGCUCCUCCAGAUGCCACUUUCUUUGCACUGCAACAGCCAGACCUUGAUAAAUCAAAACAGGCUAAAUCCUCGAUUAUCCCUGGUUUGAAAAAGAAGGCUCCAACUGCUGGUGCUGCUUCUAAAAGAGGUACUUAUGACAGCGCUGGUGUUGGUGGAAAAGCUUCUGGUGUUGAUCAAAUGAAUAAUGCGGUGACAAUCCUCUUGGAGCAAGUCGGGAUGGCUGAAAUGAAUCGUGUAUUCAUAAGAAGUCAAAAUCUCAACAGUGAGGGUAUAAUUGAUUUUGUAAAGGCCCUUUGUAAGGUUUCAAUGGAGGAAUUGCGGUCUGCUUCUGAUCCACGUGUUUUUAGCCUGACUAAGAUUGUUGAAAUCACGCAUUACAAUAUGAACCGCAUCAGGCUUGUCUGGUCAAGCAUAUGGCAUGUCUUGUCUGAAUUUUUUGUUACCAUUGGCUGCUCAGAAAAUCUUUCAAUUGCAAUAUUUGCUAUGGAUUCAUUGCGGCAGCUGGCAAUGAAGUUCCUGGAGCGAGAAGAACUGGCCAACUACAAUUUCCAAAAUGAAUUUAUGAAGCCUUUUGUUGUUGUAAUGAGGAAGAGUAGAGCUGUUGAGAUAAGAGAACUAAUCAUCAGGUGUGUAUCUCAAAUGGUACUGGCCCGUGUUAAUCAUGUGAAGUCAGGGUGGAAAAGCAUGUUUAUGGUUUUUGCAACGGCAUCAUAUGAUGAUCAUAAAAACAUUGUACUCUUGGCCUUUGAAAUUAUCGAGAAGAUUUUGCGAGAUUAUUUCCCCUACAUUACCGAGACUGAGUCUUCAACUUUCACUGAUUGUGUGAACUGUCUUAUUGCGUUCACCAACAGUAGGUUUAACAAGGAUAUAAGCCUUAAUGCAAUUGGUUUUCUUCGAUUCUGUGCGGCAAAGUUGGCAGAAGGUGACAUCGGGUCCUCUUCAAGGCUGAAGGAACCUUCGCCUCGUUUGACCAAGGAUGGAAAGCAGGAAGGUGCAAUUCAGGUUGAUAAGGAUGAUCAUAUACACUUUUGGUUUCCUUUAUUAGCAGGAUUGUCUGAACUUACUUUCGACCUUAGACCAGAAAUUAGGAAAAGUUCCUUGCAGGUGUUAUUUGACACAUUAAGAAACCAUGGCCAUGUUUUCUCUCUUCCUUUGUGGGAGAAGGUGUUUGAUUCAGUACUUUUCCCAAUAUUUGAUUAUGUAUGGCAUGCUAUUGAUCCAUCUGGUGGUUCUUCACAAGGACAAAAUGCGGAAAAUGAUCCUGCAGAGCUUGAUCAAGAUGCUUGGAUGUAUGAAACGUGCACGUUGGCCCUUCAGCUAGUUGUUGACCUUUUCGUCAAGUUCUAUGACACUGUCCAUCCACUUCUGAGGAAAGUUCUUUCACUCUUGACAAGUUUCAUUAAGCGUCCCCAUCAGAGUCUUGCUGGUAUAGGCAUUGCUGCAUUUGUUCGCCUGAUGAGCAGUGCUGGCUCUGUCUUCGUGGAUGAAAAAUGGCUGGAAGUCGUGUUGUCUUUGAAAGAAGCUACCACAGAGACGCUUCCUGACUUCUCUUAUAUCGCAUCUGGAGCUUACCUUGAAAAUGUACCAAUAGAAAAUGGAGACUCUUCAGAUAAGAGAGAAGACGAAUCUCAACCAUCAGAGGAUGGUACUGAAGAAACCUCUAGAUCAAGGAACCUGUAUUUUGCAAUUGCUGAUGCCAAGUGCCGAGCUGCUGUCCAACUCCUAUUGAUUCAGGCUGUGAUGGAGAUAUAUAACAUGUACAGAGCUCAGUUGUCGGCACAGAACACAGUAAUCCUCUUUGAGGCCUUGCAUACUGUUGCCACUCAUGCUCACAAGAUAAACAGUGACAACGACCUGCGGACCAAGUUGCAGGAGCUGGGCUCUAUGACCCAAAUGCAGGACCCGCCAUUACUACGCCUUGAGAACGAGUCAUAUCAGUUGUGCCUCACUAUCCUCCAGAAUAUAUUCUUGGACAGAGCUCCAGACGAAGGGAGCUUAGAGGUCGAAACCCACCUAGUUGGACUUUGCAAGGAGGUUCUUGAGGUAUACUUGAGCACAGCAAGGCCUGCUCACCUUUCUGGCGGUAUACAGCCGCUUGGCCAUUGGCUUAUUCCGGUUGGUUCGUCAAAGCGGAGAGAGCUUGCUGCCAGGGCACCGCUUGUUGUCUCAACAUUGCAAGCUAUCAGCGGUCUCGGUGACUCAUCUUUUGAGAAGAACCUUGGCCAGUUCUUCCCCCUACUAGCUGGUCUCAUCAGCUGUGAGCAUGGUUCAGGUGAAGUGCAGGUGGCCUUGAGUGAUAUGUUUAGCACUUGGGUUGGCCCAAUCGUGCUUCAGUCCUGUUGAUGCUGAAGCACCCUGUGAUAUAGUAUACCUCCACAUGUAAGUUAUUCUUUGUUCCAGACUUCCAGUGUCAUAUCUUUCUGUUGCUCCGUUUCCCCCCAUUUUGUUGUGUUCAUUAUUUUAGUCGUUGUGGGAAGUGGUGUCUUGAGCCGAACUGAUCAUGUAGAUCCUUUCCCCUUUUAUGCUCUUGGUUUUCUGCAUUGGGAGCGUGUAUGUUACAAGAUGAUUAAAUUAUAUGCCUUAGUAUAUAGUUCACCAAGUUAUUGAGCAGUUCGUUCUGCUUUGGGAAAUGUUUGUAACUGCCGCUGUCCGAAGCACAGGAAGCUCAUUGUGUUAUACAUUUCAUUAACUUUUGAUUGGCAUCAGAUGGUUCUAGAAACUUAAUUCUCCGAUGAACAAACCCGUACCAUGCUUUGACCCGCAUCUACGUACAUAGUAGUACUCCAGUUAAUUGUAUCUGCCGUGAGAGGCUGCCAUUUUUUAAACACGAGACUGCCGACACUAAAACAUCUUGGUAGCCCUUUGUCAUCGUGUCUCUGGAAUAGAGCCAACGCUCUACGCAGGCCUGCGUGUCUCUCUAAUGGCUUCUCGUUAUCUCGCGCCAAAAGACCUAAGCCCGGGCACAAGUAUCUCCGCGUGCCCGGCACUUUCUGGAGUCUUCCGCGGUCCGUGGAGUACACUUGUGCCACUUUUUCUGGCACCUUUUGUCGAGCUCCGGAGGCCACUCCAUGGUGCCCUGGACGUCCACGUCGUGACCGCUCUCGUUGCACGCACACUUCUACACGUUCACGGCUGGGGAGUGCCCGCCGCCGCGGCCACCCCCUCGCGGCCGGGCUAGCUCGUCCUCCCCGGGCCUAUAUAAUCGCACGCUCGUCAUUGGCAUCAGCACGCAAUAAUCACAGUCCACAACGAACCAAGUGUGAUCUAGCCAGUCCCUGCAUCCUGCUGGGAGUAAUGACGACCAUGGUUGCCUUGAGCUCCUUCGCCGGCGCCACCGUCGUCGGCCGCCCCGCCUCCUGGUCUCCGGCACUGCCGCGUCGGCGCGCCCUCCUCGUCAGGGCCCAGACCGAGCCGGAUAUCGAGUCGACCAAGGAGACGACGAGCGCAUCGACAUCCUCCCCAACCCCAACCCCGACCCCAAGCCCGGUGGUGCCCAAGCCCAAGCCCAAGGCUAACCCCUCGGUCUGGGACGCGCUCGCGUUCAGCGGCCCAGCGCCCGAGCGCAUCAACGGCCGGCUCGCUAUGGUGGGCUUCGUGGCGGCGCUCUCCGUCGAGGCAGCGCGCGGCGGCGGGCUACUCGACCAGGCCGGCAGCGGCGCCGGGCUGGGAUGGUUCCUGACAACCGCUGCGGUGUUCUCGGUGGCGUCGCUGGUGCCGCUCCUUCAGGGCCAGAGCGUGGAGAGCAAGUCCAGCGGCGUAUGGAGCGCCGACGCCGAGCUAUGGAACGGCCGCUUCGCCAUGCUCGGCCUCGUCGCACUCGCCAUCACCGAGUUCAUCACCGGCACGCCUUUCGUCAACGUCUGAAACUAGUUAGUGUAGUGCAGUACGCUUGCACGUGCAUGUACAUAUUUGUUGGUCAUGCUGAGGAACUAGGACUACGGACCACGCGACAAGCGUGGUAAAAGCAAUCUCAAAUUGACAAAAAAAAACUAGGACUACGGACUCUGACAUUCUGUAAGCCGUAUCAUUAGGUUGUCUUUCUUGGUGAUGAUGUCUUGGAGCCUACAAUUAAUGCAGGAGUGAAUUGCGUCCAUGCUAAUACUCCCAUUCUACCAAGACGCUUG